AGAACGAACGCUGGCGGCAUGCCUAACACAUGCAAGUCGAACGCUCUUGGGGCUUCGGUCUCAGGGGAGUGGCGCACGGGUGAGUAGCGCGUGGGAACCUGCCCUGUUGUGGGGGAUAACCGAGGGAAACUUCGGCUAAUACCGCAUAAGCCGGUUGUCUUGAAGGAGAUGGCCGGGAAAGAUUUAUCGCGACAGGAGGGGCCCGCGUCGGAUUAGCUAGUUGGUGGGGUAACGGCCCACCAAGGCGGUGAUCCGUAGCUGGUCUGAGAGGAUGAUCAGCCACACUGGGACUGAGACACGGCCCAGACUCCUACGGGAGGCAGCAGUGGGGAAUAUUGGACAAUGGGCGCAAGCCUGAUCCAGCAAUGCCGCGUGAGUGAUGAAGGCCUUAGGGUUGUAAAGCUCUUUCGCCCGCGACGAUGAUGACGGUAGCGGGAGAAGAAGCCCGGCUAACUUCGUGCCAGCAGCCGCGGUAA
RNAcentral lists this ribosomal RNA (476 nucleotides) under uncultured bacterium. RNAcentral's name for it is "SSU rRNA". It matches the Rfam family "Bacterial small subunit ribosomal RNA", at positions 26 to 523 of the family's 1533-position model. The record is from RNAcentral.